GGGGUCUCCAUGGUGGAUCUUGGGGUCUCCAGGGUGGAUUUUGGGGUCUCCUUGAUGUAGGAUAGGGUCACACCAAGGGUUUUGGGGUCUCCAGGGUGGAUUUUGGGGUCUCCAGGGUGGAUUUUGGGGUCUCCAUGGUGGAUUUUGGGGUCUCCAGGGUGGAUUUUGGGGUCUCCUUGAUGUAGGAUAGGGUCACACCAAGGGUUUUGGGGUCUCCAGGGUGGAUUUUGGGAUCUCCUUGAGGUGGGAUUGGGUCACACCAAGGGUUUUGGGGUCUCCAGGGUGGAUUUGGGGGUCUCCAUGGUGGAUUUUGGGGUCUCCUUGAGGUAGGAUAGGGUCACACCAAGGAUUUUGGGGUCUCCAGGGUGGAUUUGGGGGUCUCCAUGGUGGAUCUUGGGGUCUCCAGGGUGGAUUUUGGGGUCUCCUUGAUGUAGGAUAGGGUCACACCAAGGGUUUUGGGGUCUCCAUGGUGGAUUUUGGGGUCUCCUUGAGGUGGGAUAGGGUCACACCAAGGGUUUUGGUGUCUCCAUGGUGGAUUUGGGGAUCUCCUCGAGGUGGGAUUGGGUCCCCCGGAGGGUUUCGGGGGGUCCCAUGAAGGC
This is a long non-coding RNA of Cuculus canorus (common cuckoo), 599 nucleotides long. RefSeq lists it as uncharacterized. The transcript has 3 exons. The record is from RefSeq and is a predicted model, not a curated record. Lineage: Eukaryota; Metazoa; Chordata; Aves; Cuculiformes; Cuculidae.